RNAcentral lists this ribosomal RNA (744 nucleotides) under Fuscopannaria confusa. RNAcentral describes it as "SSU rRNA". It matches the Rfam family "Bacterial small subunit ribosomal RNA", at positions 368 to 1150 of the family's 1533-position model. The record is from RNAcentral. Lineage: Eukaryota; Fungi; Ascomycota; Lecanoromycetes; Peltigerales; Pannariaceae.
UCAAUAGCCUAACGGCUGAACCAGCAACUUGGAAGAAGGUAUAGCAAUAGCUAAUUGUAUUAGCAAAUAGUUUUUACAAUAUCGAUUUAAUCGACUAAAAUUCUAGGUAGAUUUAUGAUGAUGACAUUAUCUAUCUAUGUGUCUUGACCAAAUUUCGUGCCAGCAGUCGCGGUAAGACGUAAGAGACUAGUGUUAUUCAUCUUUAAUAGGUUUAAAGCGUACCUAGACGGUAAUUAAAGCCUAUAUCAGGAACUUGUUUACUAGAGUUAAAUGUAAGGGUGUAUUAAAGUACUGUUGAGUGUAGAGAUGAAAUUCGUUGAUACCAAAUAAUUGGCACAGGUAUAGGCGAAAGCAUCACUUUAUGUAAUAACUGACGUUGACGGACGAAGGCUUUGUGUCGCGAACAGGAUUAGAUACCCCAGUAGUCUUAGCAGAAAACUAUGAGUGUCAUAGGUUAGAUUUUAUUUGGUCUAUAAAUGAAAGUGUAAGCACUCCACCUCAAGAGUAAUUUGGCAACAUUGGAACUGAAAUCAUUAGACCGUUUCUGAAACCAGUAGUGAAGUAUGUUGUUUAAUUUGAUAAUCCGCAAAGAACCUUACCACAAUUUGAAUAUAAAUGAUUUAUUUUUACAAGCGUUGCACGGCUGUCUUCAGUUAAUGUCGUGAGAUAUUGGUUUAUUCCAUUAAAUUAACGUAAACCCGUACUUUAUUUUUAUAUAAAGUUGUUCAUUCGCUAUAAUGGAUG